UACGAAGGGGGCUAGCGUUGUUCGGAAUUACUGGGCGUAAAGCGCACGUAGGCGGACUAUUAAGUCAGGGGUGAAAUCCCGGGGCUCAACCCCGGAACUGCCUUUGAUACUGGUAGUCUCGAGUCCGGAAGAGGUGAGUGGAAUUCCGAGUGUAGAGGUGAAAUUCGUAGAUAUUCGGAAGAACACCCGUGGCGAAGGCGGUUCUCUGGGACGGUACUGACGCUGAGACGCGAAAGCGUGGGGAGCGAACAGG
This 253-nucleotide ribosomal RNA is filed under the name uncultured bacterium. RNAcentral's name for it is "partial 16S ribosomal RNA". It matches the Rfam family "Bacterial small subunit ribosomal RNA", at positions 524 to 776 of the family's 1533-position model. The record is from RNAcentral.